GGAUAACCUGCCCUUGGGUUCGGGAUAACCCCGGGAAACUGGGGAUAAUACCGGAUAACGCAUAUGUGCUGGAAUGCUUUAUGCGUAAAACGGAUUCGUCUGCCCAAGGAUGGGUCUGCGGCCUAUCAGGUAGUAGUGGGUGUAAUGUACCUACUAGCCGACAACGGGUACGGGUUGUGAGAGCAAGAGCCCGGAGAUGGAUUCUGAGACAUGAAUCCAGGCCCUACGGGGCGCAGCAGGCGCGAAAACUUUACAAUGCGGGAAACCGUGAUAAGGGGACACCGAGUGCCAGCAUCAUAUGCUGGCUGUCCGGGUGUGUAAAAUACACCUGUUAGCAAGGGCCGGGCAAGACCGGUGCCAGCCGCCGCGGUAACACCGGCGGCCCGAGUGGUGAUCGUGAUUAUUGGGUCUAAAGGGUCCGUAGCCGGUUUGGUCAGUCCUCCGGGAAAUCUGAUAGCUCAACUAUUAGGCUUUCGGGGGAUACUGCCAGGCUUGGAACCGGGAGAGGUAAGAGGUACUACAGGGGUAGGAGUGAAAUCUUGUAAUCCCUGUGGGACCACCUGUGGCGAAGGCGUCUUACCAGAACGGGUUCGACGGUGAGGGACGAAAGCUGGGGGCACGAACCGGAUUAGAUACCCGGGUAGUCCCAGCCGUAAACGAUGCUCGCUAGGUGUCAGGCAUGGCGCGACCGUGUCUGGUGCCGCAGGGAAGCCGUGAAGCGAGCCACCUGGGAAGUACGGCCGCAAGGCUGAAACUUAAAGGAAUUGGCGGGGGAGCACAACAACGGGUGGAGCCUGCGGUUUAAUUGGACUCAACGCCGGACAACUCACCGGG
This 834-nucleotide ribosomal RNA is filed under the name uncultured Methanosarcina sp. RNAcentral describes it as "bacterial SSU rRNA". It matches the Rfam family "Archaeal small subunit ribosomal RNA", at positions 102 to 934 of the family's 1478-position model. The record is from RNAcentral. Lineage: Archaea; Methanobacteriati; Methanobacteriota; Methanomicrobia; Methanosarcinales; Methanosarcinaceae.